AUUGAACGCUGGCGGCAGGCCUAACACAUGCAAGUCGAGCGGGGGUAGCAAUACCCUAGCGGCGAACGGGUGAGGAAUGCUUGGGAAUCUGCCUGGUAGUGGGGGAUAACGUUCCGAAAGGAACGCUAAUACCGCAUACGUCCUACGGGAGAAAGGGGGGGGAUCUUCGGACCUCUCGCUAUCAGAUGAGCCCAAGCCGGAUUAGCUAGUUGGUGGGGUAAAGGCCCACCAAGGCGACGAUCCGUAGCUGGUCUGAGAGGAUGAUCAGCCACACUGGAACUGAGACACGGUCCAGACUCCUACGGGAGGCAGCAGUGGGGAAUAUUGGACAAUGGGCGAAAGCCUGAUCCAGCCAUGCCGCGUGUGUGAAGAAGGCCUGGUUGUAAGCACUUUAAGACGGGGAGGAAGGGUUCGCGUACUUAAUACGUAGCGGAAUUAGACGUUACCCGUCGAGAAUAAGACACCGGC
RNAcentral lists this ribosomal RNA (468 nucleotides) under uncultured bacterium. RNAcentral describes it as "bacterial SSU rRNA". It matches the Rfam family "Bacterial small subunit ribosomal RNA", at positions 29 to 497 of the family's 1533-position model. The record is from RNAcentral.